RNAcentral lists this ribosomal RNA (465 nucleotides) under Vreelandella stevensii. Its description in RNAcentral is "partial 16S ribosomal RNA". It matches the Rfam family "Bacterial small subunit ribosomal RNA", at positions 338 to 795 of the family's 1533-position model. Lineage: Bacteria; Pseudomonadati; Pseudomonadota; Gammaproteobacteria; Oceanospirillales; Halomonadaceae. The record is from RNAcentral.
CCUACGGGGAGCAGCAGUGGGGAAUAUUGGACAAUGGGCGAAAGCCUGAUCCAGCCAUGCCGCGUGUGUGAAGAAGGCCUUCGGGUUGUAAAGCACUUUCGGUGGGGAAGAAAGCCUUGGGGCUAAUACCCUCGAGGAAGGACAUCACCCACAGAAGAAGCACCGGCUAACUCCGUGCCAGCAGCCGCGGUAAUGCGGAGGGUGCGAGCGUUAAUCGGAAUUACUGGGCGUAAAGCGCGCGUAGGCGGUCUGAUAAGCCGGUUGUGAAAGCCCCGGGCUCAACCUGGGAACGGCAUCCGGAACUGUCAGGCUAGAGUGCAGGAGAGGAAGGUAGAAUUCCCGGUGUAGCGGUGAAAUGCGUAGAGAUCGGGAGGAAUACCAGUGGCGAAGGCGGCCUUCUGGACUGACACUGACGCUGAGGUGCGAAAGCGUGGGUAGCAAACAGGAUUAGAUACCCCAGUAGUC